RNAcentral lists this ribosomal RNA (490 nucleotides) under uncultured bacterium. RNAcentral's name for it is "partial 16S ribosomal RNA". It matches the Rfam family "Bacterial small subunit ribosomal RNA", at positions 30 to 507 of the family's 1533-position model. The record is from RNAcentral.
AUUGAACGCUGGCGUCAGGCCUAACACAUGCAAGCCGAACGGUAACAGGAAGCAGCUUGCUGCUUCGCUGACGAGUGGCGGACGGGUGAGUAAUGUCUGGGAAGCUGCCUGAUGGAGGGGGAUAACUACUGGAAACGGUAGCUAAUACCGCAUAAUGUCGCAAGACCAAAGAGGGGGACCUUCGGGCCUCUUGCCAUCGGAUGUGCCCAGAUGGGAUUAGCUUGUUGGUGGGGUAACGGCUCACCAAGGCGACGAUCCCUAGCUGGUCUGAGAGGAUGACCAGCCACACUGGAACUGAGACACGGUCCAGACUCCUACGGGAGGCAGCAGUGGGGAAUAUUGCACAAUGGGCGCAAGCCUGAUGCAGCCAUGCCGCGUGUAUGAAGAAGGCCUUCGGGUUGUAAAGUACUUUCAGCGGGGAGGAAGGGAGUAAAGUUAAUACCUUUGCUCAUUGACGUUACCCGCAGAAGAAGCACCGGCUAACUCCGUG